This 253-nucleotide ribosomal RNA is filed under the name uncultured bacterium. RNAcentral's name for it is "partial 16S ribosomal RNA". It matches the Rfam family "Bacterial small subunit ribosomal RNA", at positions 524 to 776 of the family's 1533-position model. The record is from RNAcentral.
UACGGAGGAUGCGAGCGUUAUCCGGAUUUAUUGGGUUUAAAGGGUGCGUAGGCGGACUAAUAAGUCAGUGGUGAAAUCCUGCAGCUUAACUGCAGAACUGCCGUUGAUACUGUUAGUCUUGAGUUCGGUUAAGGUAGGCGGAAUGUGUAAUGUAGCGGUGAAAUGCUUAGAUAUUACACAGAACACCGAUUGCGUAGGCAGCUUACUGGACCGACACUGACGCUGAGGCACGAAAGCGUGGGGAGCGAACAGG